This 317-nucleotide ribosomal RNA is filed under the name uncultured bacterium. RNAcentral's name for it is "bacterial SSU rRNA". It matches the Rfam family "Bacterial small subunit ribosomal RNA", at positions 8 to 334 of the family's 1533-position model. The record is from RNAcentral.
AGGGUUCGAUUCUGGCUCAGGAUGAACGCUGACAGAAUGCUUAACACAUGCAAGUCUACUUGAUCCUUCGGGUGAUGGUGGCGGACGGGUGAGUAACGCGUAAAGAACUUGCCUUGCAGUCUGGGACAACGUCUGGAAACGGACGCUAAUACCGGAUAUUAUGAUUGAAUCGCAUGAUUUAAUUAUGAAAGCUAUAUGCGCUGCGAGAGAGCUUUGCGUCCCAUUAGUUAGUUGGUGAGGUAACGGCUCACCAAGACGAUGAUGGGUAGCCGGCCUGAGAGGGUGAACGGCCACAAGGGGACUGAGACACGGCCCUU